Molecule: ribosomal RNA, 258 nt
Filed under: Vibrio alginolyticus
Lineage: Bacteria; Pseudomonadati; Pseudomonadota; Gammaproteobacteria; Vibrionales; Vibrionaceae
Also listed under: 2 other names
Description: partial 23S ribosomal RNA
Rfam family: Bacterial large subunit ribosomal RNA
Source: RNAcentral
UAAGCGGUUGAAGGUGUGUGGUAACGCAUGCUGGACGUAUCAGAAGUGCGAAUGCUGACAUGAGUAACGAUAAAGGGGGUGAAAAACCUCCUCGCCGGAAGACCAAGGGUUCCUGUCCAACGUUAAUCGGGGCAGGGUAAGUCGACCCCUAAGGCGAGGCCGAAAGGCGUAGUCGAUGGGAAACGGGUUAAUAUUCCCGUACUUCUUACAAUUGCGAUGGGGGGACGGAGAAGGCUAGGUGGGCCUGGCGACGGUUGU